UACGAAGGGGGCUAGCGUUGUUCGGAAUUACUGGGCGUAAAGGGCGCGCAGGCGGCUCUUCAAGUCAGAUGUGAAAGCCCUGGGCUCAACCUGGGGACUGCGCUUGAGACGGUAUGGCUUGAGGGUGGAAGAGGCUCGCGGAAUUCCCAGUGUAGAGGUGAAAUUCGUAGAUAUUGGGAAGAACACCGGUGGCGAAGGCGGCGAGCUGGUCCAUCACUGACGCUGAGGCGCGACAGCGUGGGGAGCAAACAGG
RNAcentral lists this ribosomal RNA (253 nucleotides) under uncultured bacterium. Its description in RNAcentral is "partial 16S ribosomal RNA". It matches the Rfam family "Bacterial small subunit ribosomal RNA", at positions 524 to 776 of the family's 1533-position model. The record is from RNAcentral.